This 427-nucleotide ribosomal RNA is filed under the name uncultured prokaryote. RNAcentral describes it as "bacterial SSU rRNA". It matches the Rfam family "Bacterial small subunit ribosomal RNA", at positions 355 to 774 of the family's 1533-position model. The record is from RNAcentral.
UCGAGAAUCAUUCGCAAUGGGCGAAAGCCUGACGAUGCGACGCUGUGUGAGCGAUGAAGGCCUUCGGGUUGUAAAGCUCUUUCGCCUGGGAACAAGGAAUAAUGAUUAAUAAUCAUUAAACUUGAGCGUACCAGGUAAAGAAGCACCGGCUAACUACGUGCCAGCAGCUGCGGUAAUACGUAGGGUGCAAGCAUUAAUCGGAAUUAUUGGGCGUAAAGGGCGCGUAGGCGGAUAAUCAAGUCUUGUGUGAAAUUUCGGGGCUCAACCUCGAAGCGGCACAGGAAACUAGUUAUCUAGAGGGUAGACGGAGAGAAUGGAAGUCCACAAGUAGCGGUGAAAUGCGUAGAUAUGUGGAAGAACACCGGUGGCGAAGGCGAUUCUCUAGUUUACUCCUGACGCUGAGGCGCGAAAGCAAGGGGAUCAAACA